GGAGGGUAGGCGAAUGGCUAGCAACCGCAUUCGAAAUGCGGCGCCCCUUUAUGGGGUUGCGGGUUCGAGUCCCGUGCCCUCCG
RNAcentral lists this transfer RNA (83 nucleotides) under Planctomycetaceae bacterium. RNAcentral describes it as "tRNA-Ser". It matches the Rfam family "tRNA". Rfam says of the family: Transfer RNA (tRNA) molecules are approximately 80 nucleotides in length. Their secondary structure includes four short double-helical elements and three loops (D, anti-codon, and T loops). Lineage: Bacteria; Pseudomonadati; Planctomycetota; Planctomycetia; Planctomycetales; Planctomycetaceae. The record is from RNAcentral.